This 1406-nucleotide ribosomal RNA is filed under the name uncultured Bordetella sp. RNAcentral describes it as "partial 16S-23S ribosomal RNA intergenic spacer". It matches the Rfam family "Bacterial small subunit ribosomal RNA". Lineage: Bacteria; Pseudomonadati; Pseudomonadota; Betaproteobacteria; Burkholderiales; Alcaligenaceae. The record is from RNAcentral.
GUUUGAUUAUGGCUCAGAUUGAACGCUGGCGGGAUGCUUUACACAUGCAAGUCGAACGGCAGCACGGACUUCGGUCUGGUGGCGAGUGGCGAACGGGUGAGUAAUGUAUCGGAACGUGCCUAGUAGCGAGAGGAUGGCCACGCCCGGCAGUAGCUAAUACCGCAUACGCCUUCGAGGGAAAGCGGGGACCUUCCGGGCCUCGCACUAUUAGAGCGGCCGAUAUCAGGAUUAGCUGGUUGGUGGGUAACGGCUCACCAAGGCGACGAUCCGUAGCUGGUUUUGAGAGGACGACCAGCCACUGGGACGAGACACGGCCCAGACUCUACGGGAGAGGCGGCGAGUGAAAUUUUGGACAUUGGAAACCUGAUCCAGCCAUCCCGCAUUGCGAUGAAGGCCUUCUGGUUGUAAAGCACUUUUGGCAGGAAAGAAACUUGGGCACGGGAUAAUACGAUGCAACUGACUGGUACACAGAAUAAGCACCGGCUAACUACGUGCCAACAACCGCGGUAAUACGUAAAGGGUGCAAGCGUUAAUCAGAUUACUGGGCGUAAAGCGUGCGCAGGCGGUUCCGGAAAGAAAGAUGUGAAAUCCCAGAGCUUAACUGGAACUGCAUUUUUUUUAAUACCGAGCUAGAGUGUGUCAGAGGAGGUGGAAUUCCGCGUGUAGCAGUGAGGAAAUGCGUAGAUAUGGAGGAACACCGAUGGCGAAGGCAGCCUCCUGGGAUAACACUGACGCUCAUGCACGAAAGCGUGGGGAGCAAACGGAUUAGAUACCCUAGUGGUCACCGCCCUAAACGAUGUCAACUAGCUGUGCGGGCCUUCGGGCCUUGGUAGCGCAACGCGUGAAGUUGACCGCCUGGGGAGUACGGUCGCAGGGUCAAACUCAAAGGUACAAUGAGGCACACAAGCAGUGGAUGAUGGAUUAAUUCGAUGCAACGCGAAAAACCUUACCUACCCUUGACAUGUCUGGAAUCCCGAAGAGAUUUGGGAGUGCUCGCAAGAGAACAGACACAGGUGCUGCAUGGCUCGUCAGCUCGUGUCGUGAGAUGUUGGGAUUAAGUCCCGCAACAAGCGCAACCCUUGUCAUUGAAUUUGCUACGAAAAGAAGGGCACUCUAAUGAGACUGCCGGUGACAAACCGGAGGAAGGUGGGGAUGACGUCAAGUCCUCAUGGCCCUUAUGGGUAGGGCUUCACACACGUCAUACAAUGGUCAGGGACAGAGGGUCUUCCAACCCGCGAGAGACCAAUCCCAGAAACCCGAUCGUAGUCCGGAUCGCAGUCUGCAACUCGACUGCGUGAAGUCCGGAAUCGCUAGUAAUCGCGGAUCGGCAUGUCGCGGUGAAUACGUUCCCGGGUCUUGUACACACCGCCCGUCACACCAUGGGAGUGGGUUUUACCCGAAGUAGU